This 51-nucleotide small RNA is filed under the name Arabidopsis thaliana (thale cress). RNAcentral describes it as "ATSL295270". The record is from RNAcentral. Lineage: Eukaryota; Viridiplantae; Streptophyta; Magnoliopsida; Brassicales; Brassicaceae.
AUUGGAGAUGCUCUUAGACAUCUAAGAUUCUAGCUGCCCACGAUAAUAAUC